This 524-nucleotide ribosomal RNA is filed under the name uncultured bacterium. RNAcentral's name for it is "bacterial SSU rRNA". It matches the Rfam family "Bacterial small subunit ribosomal RNA", at positions 96 to 633 of the family's 1533-position model. The record is from RNAcentral.
CGGCGAACGGGUGAGUAACACGUGAACAAUCUACCCUCUCAUUCCGGAUAAUUGGCUGAAAAGCCUUGUAAUACGGGGGAGGUUCCUUAUUGGGCAUCCUUUGAGGAACGAACAGGUAACUGGUGCGAGGAGGAGUUCGCGGAUUAUCAGGUAGUUGGUGGGGUAACGGCCUACCAAGCCUACGACGAUUAGCUGGUCUGAGAGGAUGGUCAGCCACAUUGGAACUGAGAUACUGUCCAGACUCCUACGGGAGGCUGCAGUCGAGAAUCUUGGGCAAUGCACGAAAGUGUGACCCAGCGACGCCGCGUGAAGGAUGAAGGCCCUCUGGGUUGUAAACUUCUUUUACGGGAGAAGAAUAAAUGACGGUAUCCCGUGAAUAAGCCACGGCUAACUACGUGCCAGCAGCCGCGGUAAUACGUAGGUGGCAAGCGUUGUCCGGAUUUACUGGGCGUAAAGCGAACGCAGGCGGACUGUUAAGUAGAAAGUGAAAGGUCGGAGCUCAACUCCAACAUUGCUUUCUAUAC